RNAcentral lists this long non-coding RNA (351 nucleotides) under Capra hircus (goat). RNAcentral describes it as "lncRNA (ENSCHIG00010009177.1)". Lineage: Eukaryota; Metazoa; Chordata; Mammalia; Artiodactyla; Bovidae. The record is from RNAcentral.
UGGUCAUCUGUUAAUUGACUUGCUUAUUUGCUUUUCGUAAAAAACAUCUCAUCAGCAUUUCUCUGAGAAAAUUGAGAGAUGUGGGUUUGAGUCAGUGUAUAAAUAGUAGCUCCUCUCUCAUGGACUCACCCUGAUCAUCUAUCCUUUCAUCUAGUCAACAGAUAUUUAUAAUCAAGAAUGAAAAGUGAAAACUCGAGAAGGCAUUUGUCAGUUAACCAAGAGAUGAGACUUAUGGAUUAUCACCACUGCUCUUAAGUGAGGUGUAUUGGCCAGAGUUCUGCUGAAAAUGACCCUAGACUGAGAUUCAAGUGUGCCUUCCAGAACCACACCAUCAAACUGAACUACAAGGGA